Molecule: long non-coding RNA, 266 nt
Organism: Anarrhichthys ocellatus (wolf-eel)
Lineage: Eukaryota; Metazoa; Chordata; Actinopteri; Perciformes; Anarhichadidae
Exons: 3
Source: RefSeq, a predicted model, not a curated record
UCUGUCUUUCUUUUCGCACGUCAUGGCGGACCGGUUCAAUAAGGUUCUGCUACUGGAUGGCAGGGGCCACCUUCUGGGGCGGCUUGCUGCCCUUGUGGCUAAACAGGUUUUGCUGGGACACAAAGUGGUGGUGGUGAGAUGUGAAGGAAUCAAUAUUUCUGGAAACUUCUACCGCAACAAGCGUAAGUAGGCUACAUGCCAGUUAAAUUAAGCUUCUUUCAUUGUUCCUCGAUUUAUGCUUGUCAGUGAUGUUUUACCACUGUUAU